This 532-nucleotide ribosomal RNA is filed under the name uncultured bacterium. RNAcentral's name for it is "bacterial SSU rRNA". It matches the Rfam family "Bacterial small subunit ribosomal RNA", at positions 355 to 899 of the family's 1533-position model. The record is from RNAcentral.
UGGGGAAUCUUGGACAAUGGGGGGCAACCCUGAUCCAGCCAUGCCGCGUGAGUGAUGAAGGCCUUAGGGUCGUAAAGCUCUUUCGCCUGUGAAGAUAAUGACGGUAGCAGGUAAAGAAACCCCGGCUAACUCCGUGCCAGCAGCCGCGGUAAUACGGAGGGGGUUAGCGUUGUUCGGAAUUACUGGGCGUAAAGCGCACGUAGGCGGACCAGAAAGUUGGGGGUGAAAUCCCGGGGGCUCAACCCCGGAACUGCCUCCAAAACUAUUGGUCUAGAGUUCGAGAGAGGUGAGUGGAAUUCCAAGUGUAGAGGUGAAAUUCGUAGAUAUUUGGAGGAACACCAGUGGCGAAGGCGGCUCACUGGCUCGAUACUGACGCUGAGGUGCGAAAGUGUGGGGAGCAAACAGGAUUAGAUACCCCUGGUAGUCCACACCGUAAAACGAUGAAUGCCAGUCGUCGGGUAGCAUGCUAUUCGGUGACACACCUAACGGAUUAAGCAUUCCGGCCUGGGGGAGUACGGUCGCAAGAUUAAAA